This 946-nucleotide ribosomal RNA is filed under the name uncultured Alphaproteobacteria bacterium. Its description in RNAcentral is "bacterial SSU rRNA". It matches the Rfam family "Bacterial small subunit ribosomal RNA", at positions 37 to 1026 of the family's 1533-position model. The record is from RNAcentral. Lineage: Bacteria; Pseudomonadati; Pseudomonadota; Alphaproteobacteria.
UGGCGGCACGCCUAACACAUGCAAGUCGAACGAAGUAGCAAUACUUAGUGGCAGACGGGUGAGUAACAUGUGGGUAUCUGCCCUUUGGCCUGGAAUAACACGAGGAAACUUGUGCUAAUACCGGAUAAGUCUUUACGGAGAAAGCUUUAUGCACCAUUGGAUGAGCCCGCACUUGAUUAGUUUGUUGGUGGGGUAAUGGCCUACCAAGACUGUGAUCAAUAGCUGAUUUGAGAGGAUGAUCAGCCACAUUGGGACUGAGACACGGCCCAAACUCCUACGGGAGGCAGCAGUGGGGAAUCUUGCACAAUGGAGGAAACUCUGAUGCAGCGAUGCCGCGUGAGUGAAGAAGGCCCUUGGGUUGUAAAGCUCUUUCGUCGGGGAAGAAAAUGACUGUACCCGAAUAAGAAGGUCCGGCUAACUUCGUGCCAGCAGCCGCGGUAAUACGAAGGGACCUAGCGUAGUUCGGAAUUACUGGGCUUAAAGAGUUCGUAGGUGGUUGAAAAAGUUGGUGGUGAAAUCCCAGAGCUUAACUCUGGAACUGCCAUCAAAACUUUUCAGCUAGAGUUUGAUAGAGGAAAGCAGAAUUUCUAGUGUAGAGGUGAAAUUCGUAGAUAUUAGAAAGAAUACCAAUUGCGAAGGCAGCUUUCUGGAUCAUUACUGACACUGAGGAACGAAAGCAUGGGUAGCGAAGAGGAUUAGAUACCCUCGUAGUCCAUGCUGUAAACGAUGUGUGUUAGACGUUGGAAAUUUAUUUUCAGUGUCGCAGCGAAAGCGAUAAACACACCGCCUGGGGAGUACGACCGCAAGGUUAAAACUCAAAUGAAUUGACGGGGACCCGCACAAGUAGUGGAGCAUGUGGUUUAAUUCGAAGAUACGCGCAGAACCUUACCAACACUUGACAUGUUCGUCGCGACUUUAAGAGAUUAAAGUUUUCGGUUCGGCCGGA